GUUAUUGAACUUGUUAAAAGUAUAUAUUUUGAAAAUAUAAAAAAGAAGUAAGAAUCUUCUAAUAACUU
This 68-nucleotide transfer RNA is filed under the name Hypomedon debilicornis. Its description in RNAcentral is "tRNA-Ser". Lineage: Eukaryota; Metazoa; Arthropoda; Insecta; Coleoptera; Staphylinidae. The record is from RNAcentral.